This 424-nucleotide ribosomal RNA is filed under the name uncultured bacterium. RNAcentral's name for it is "bacterial SSU rRNA". It matches the Rfam family "Bacterial small subunit ribosomal RNA", at positions 355 to 777 of the family's 1533-position model. The record is from RNAcentral.
UAGGGAAUUUUCGGCAAUGGGCGAAAGCCUGACCGAGCAAUGCCGCGUGAAUGAAGAAGGUCUUCGGAUUGUAAAGUUCUUUUGCAAGGGAAGAAAAGGCUGUGAAGAGCAGCGAAUUGACGGUACCUUGAGAAUAAGCCACGGCUAACUACGUGCCAGCAGCCGCGGUAAUACGUAGGUGGCGAGCGUUAUCCGGAAUUAUUGGGCGUAAAGCGUGAGUAGGCGGUAAUAUAAGUCUAAAGUGAAAGGCUGUGGCUUAACCAUAGUAUGCUUUAGAAACUGUAUAACUAGAGUGCGGGAGAGGUUAAUGGAAUUCCAUGUGUAGCGGUGAAAUGCGUAGAUAUAUGGAGGAACACCAGUGGCGAAGGCGGUUAACUGGCCCGAAACUGACGCUGAGUCACGAAAGCGUGGGGAGCAAAUAGGA